ACUCUUUUGGGCGAGUUACAAAAAGGACUCCAGGGUUUCCGACUUUUGGUUGCAGGUUUCCGACACUUGGACAUCUGGUACCCGACGUUAGGACAUCUGCCCACCGACGUUUGGACUACUGGUCCCCGACGUUUGGGCGCAUCAGUAAAUUGUUGCUGAACCCACCGAGCGCUAUACUUUCCGACAAGAGGACUCCCGUGCCAUCGACAUUAGGACUUUUUUUUUUUUUUUUUUACUUGAUGAUUGGGACUGCAAACGUCAAACGGACUCGCAUGUAAACGACAAACGGACUCCCGAUCUAGCGACAAAUGGACUUUCAAACAGGACGGCGAUGGGAUUCAAACGAAACAGAACCAAAGAUUAACACUGUCAUCGCCGCCCAAACAGGAGAUGCAGCUUUUCUUCAUUGUCAUAUGGAGCUCAGAGAGGAUCAUGGCGUAAGUUUCACUGAUGAACCCAAAGGCAAAAAAGAUGAUUGUUUAAAUAUUAGGCGUCCUAUAUAAUAUCUUGCGUAUGCAGAUGUCAACUGGCACAAACAGAAUAUAACAUAACAUGACGAAAAUAAUAUUUCAGUUUUAGCAACCGAAAAGCAGCUAAGCGUAACCAACUAAAAAAAAACUCCUAAAACAAAAAAAAAUGCGUUACACGUAAAGUUUUUCCCUACAGUGGUAGAUGGGAAAUAAAGUUGCUAAUAAAUAAAACCCUUUUCUAGUAAUUUGUAUUUGGUUUCAGUUGCCAGACCACCACAGCGAACUAGCUGCAUAAAUUAGAAUAGAAUAUGUUACGAGUUACUUCAACGAAUGAUUUACAUUGCAAUAAAACUGUUUUUUUUCCUCUGUUUGUUGCAAGCAUUUAACAACUUUACUUGUUCGUCUGGUUAUUAUGUCAGAAACAUCCCAAUUCUGAAAGGUAGGUACAUCCCUAUUACUUUGUAGGUAUCUUGGGUACGUCGGCGAUAUUAGUAUAUUUUGUAGUGCGGACUCUAAAGUAUAUUCAAGGGACGAAAGGAUUCGUGUUACUUCAGCGGACAAUACCGAAAACAUUUGGACGUUGCUUAUAAAAUACAUAAGAAAAGACGACGAGGGUAUCUAUGAUUUCAGAUCACGACUAGGAAAUCCGCAUCCACCCAGUCUGUCGAAUUACGAAUUGUUGAACCACAAGCUGUGCUUGUCGGGUCUGAAGAUAUAUAUUUUGGUGUCGAGAGUCCUUUUACAGUUACGUGCGUCAUUACGAAUGUAAGUGAAAUCUUUUAUUUUUAAA
Long non-coding RNA from Daphnia carinata, 1260 nucleotides. RefSeq lists it as uncharacterized. The transcript has 3 exons. The record is from RefSeq and is a predicted model, not a curated record. NCBI's taxonomy places the organism in Eukaryota, Metazoa, Arthropoda, Branchiopoda, Diplostraca, Daphniidae.